UACGUAGGGCGCAAGCGUUAUCCGGAAUUAUUGGGCGUAAAGAGCUCGUAGGCGGUUUGUCGCGUCUGCCGUGAAAGUCCGGGGCUCAACUCCGGAUCUGCGGUGGGUACGGGCAGACUAGAGUGAUGUAGGGGAGACUGGAAUUCCUGGUGUAGCGGUGAAAUGCGCAGAUAUCAGGAAGAACACCCGUGGCGAAGGCGGCUCUCUGGAACGCAACUGACGCUGAGACGCGAAAGCGUGGGGAGCAAACAGG
RNAcentral lists this ribosomal RNA (253 nucleotides) under uncultured bacterium. RNAcentral's name for it is "partial 16S ribosomal RNA". It matches the Rfam family "Bacterial small subunit ribosomal RNA", at positions 524 to 776 of the family's 1533-position model. The record is from RNAcentral.